This 422-nucleotide ribosomal RNA is filed under the name uncultured bacterium. Its description in RNAcentral is "bacterial SSU rRNA". It matches the Rfam family "Bacterial small subunit ribosomal RNA", at positions 358 to 772 of the family's 1533-position model. The record is from RNAcentral.
GGAAUAUUGGACAAUGGGCGCAAGCCUGAUCCAGCAACGCCGCGUGGAGGAUGAAGGUCUUCGGAUCGUAAACUCCUGUCAGACGGGACGAAGGUCUGUGGGUGAACAAUCCACGGGUUUGACGGUACCGUCAGAGGAAGCCCCGGCUAACCCCGCGCCAGCAGCCGCGGUAAUACGGAGGGGGCGAGCGUUAUUCGGAAUUAUUGGGCGUAAAGGGCGCGUAGGCGGUUCGAUAAGUCAAAGGUGAAAUCCCUCGGCUAAACUGAGGAACUGCCUUUGAAACUGUCGAGCUUGAGUCCGGGAGGGGGUAGCGGAAUUCCCAGUGUAGCGGUGAAAUGCGUAGAUAUUGGGAGGAACACCGGUGGCGAAGGCGGCUACCUAGACCGGAACUGACGCUGAUGCGCGAAAGCGUGGGUAGCAAA